AACUUGACCGCUGCCUGCGAGACGGGUCGGUGAUAGAAAAAGGAAGGAUCGCGGGAAAUAGGGAGAAAGUUUCAAGUUUCUGGUUGGGGGAAAGGGGACUCUGUAAUGCGAGCUUGGGUAAACAAUGCUUUCCAACAGAGGUUUCUGGAAGUGCCUCUGGAACUCCGCAAAGGAUAGACUUAAUUUUCAUUAACAAAAUCUAUUUUUUAAAACUGCACUUAGAAUAAUUUCAACACUCCAUGUGUUGAAUUUGGCCUCCAUCAAAGAAGAGAUGCAAAGGGUUAAUUUGUAGAUAGGUGAAGUCAAUCUUGGGCCAACUUCUGGACUCAUGGUUAUUUGUUGUUGUUAAUUUAAUUUAUAUGCCGAGUCUGAAAAGCAAGCGGAUUUUUAAAAAAUUGUUACCAUUCACAAUGACUUCUCUAUAGGAUCAGAACUGGUUCACUUUACAGUCAACCCAACUUGGAGGGGUUAAAAUAGGUGCUGCAGAUGGUAAGUGCAUUGUAACCUCCAUCCAUCUUCCCCAUUUCAGUAGCUCUGUAUUCAAAUCUUUAUUGAGUAUGUACUUUGCACAUGGAACUGUCUUUGAUUGACUGUAUAAGCUAAUGUUAUACUUUAAACCUAAAAAUAAAUUAACACCAAUAAAACAUUGUCGUCGGCUGGGCGCCACUGCUCACACUUGUAAUCCCAGCACUUUGGGAGGCCAAGGCAGGUGGAUCACCUGAAGUCAGGAGUUGGAGACCAGCCUGGCCAACAUGGUGAAACCCCAUUGCUACCAAAA
Molecule: long non-coding RNA, 778 nt
Filed under: Homo sapiens (human)
Lineage: Eukaryota; Metazoa; Chordata; Mammalia; Primates; Hominidae
Description: non-protein coding lnc-CTRL-3:1
Source: RNAcentral